This 712-nucleotide long non-coding RNA is filed under the name Elaeis guineensis (African oil palm). Its description in RNAcentral is "long non-coding RNA (EGUI_LNC031755)". Lineage: Eukaryota; Viridiplantae; Streptophyta; Magnoliopsida; Arecales; Arecaceae. The record is from RNAcentral.
UGGUUCAUAAUGAAAGGAUGUUCCAACAUGUAAUAAGGCCCCCAACUAAGAUAUUUAGAAAGGCUUGUGCCUUCAUUGUAGACUUUAAUCCCGAUGGGCAGCAAGCAUUAACUAAUACUCCAAGGUAAUGAGAUAGUUUUAAUUAGCAAAAUUUGCCUAACAACCUUGGGAAGAUGGUGUUGUGGCUAAGGUUAACUUUGAUGCUUCAGAAACAAAUGAUAAAAUAGCUGCUGGUUUUAUAAUUGUUGAAAUAUAAAUAUAAGAACCUACAAGUUUCAGGUUGCCUUGCACCUAAAUCAAACUGAAUUUUCUUCCCAUAAGUCAGAUCAUGAUCAAACCAUAACUCCUGGGUCAGAAGUAGAAUCACAAAAUGGAAUGCAUUAGAUUUCCACAAUCCAAAUGCCUAAUGAGUUUUUUUUUUUUUUGAGAGAGAGUUUUUUCAAUGCUUUUUGCUAAAGAGUGAGAGAGAUCCAUCAAAGCUAUAUUUCUUUGCCAUCUCAAGACAAUUUUCAACAUGUUGCAAUUAUUGAAAGUUAUCAAAAUAACUCCCAAAAACUACAUUCCUGGGCCGGAUCGGAUUAUGCCCAUGUGGGUGACCCAAAUCUAUAUUUAAAAACCAAAAUCUCACACUCACACAUGAUGAUCAAAAUAUUAAUCUCAUCUUAAUAAUUUCAUACAGGCAAAUAAGCCAUGUGACCCAUGAGAACAUCUG